GUAAGUUUUUUGUUACUCGGCAAAAGUCACAAAUAUUCGAAAUACGCAACCAAACAAAACGCUAUUGCCGCCUUACGUACCCGCAUAACGCACCAACCGCCACUUUGAAAGUGAAUCAAAAUAAUCCACCCCUGCUGAAAACGAAAAAGCCUAUUCGCGAAGCGCCGCGGCAACUUGACAGAUGAGUCAGUUCACACGCACACCAUAAGCAAACACGACAUUGGAGUAAAAGAAACGGUACUUUUCAUCCGGCACGUCUUCGCGAGUGGUAGCCCCAUCGCCAUCAUCGGGCGGCUACAAAUUGGACGGGAAAAUUCCAUCUACACGGGCGAGGGACCACAUGGUGGCCAAUUGAUUGUUCUCCAGUGGCCGCGUUUCUGUGCCCACGAUCCAACGUUCCUUCGUCGUUGGCCAGCAAUUGAACGUGAGGUGAAGACACCGGAGCUCCCACCGAGGAAAAAAGAAGGAACCGACUCUCAAUAUUCCGGGCUCGUCAGGAGCGCCAAAAUCUGACGAAAAAACAGGACAAGCGGGAAGAAUCAGACCACGUGAAAGUGGAGAAGGACAACGAUCGUCGGAAGGAGAUCGGCCAGUAUCCAGAUUUUCAAAUAACACCCCAGCAUUGGGGUGUUUUUGCCGAGCCAGUCCACGGUCAGGUUGCACGAUUUAAUCAUUCCUACCGGACGGGUAGAGGGCCGUCGGAUUAUUUCGUCUAGGCUGUCAGAUUAUUCCCACCGGACGGGUAGACGGCAAGUACCGGAACAAAGAGCAGGUGGUCGGAAGGGACCAGAAACAGCCCAGCCGGGUGAGAGCAGCCUCUUCGACGACGGGGGAGAUCCAGUGACUCGGAGGGACCCCAUCCAGUAGUUGGUCGCACUGGACGGCCAGAGGGGUCUCCAGCAGAGCACUCUCGAAGCAGGCGGGAGGAGGCAGUGGAAUGCGGCAGCAAAGCAGUUGUGGCGGGGAGAACUCCGCCGAGAGGAUAGAUCAGGGGGACGCCCCGAAGACCGUGAGUAAGACAGUAUGUGCUUUGUGAGAUAGGAAGAUAGAGAAAGAAGAAGGCAGAGAGUGAGGAGAAGAGGGAUGAAUAGGAGGUAGGAAG
This is a long non-coding RNA of Armigeres subalbatus, 1102 nucleotides long. RefSeq lists it as uncharacterized. The transcript is spliced from 4 exons. The record is from RefSeq and is a predicted model, not a curated record. Lineage: Eukaryota; Metazoa; Arthropoda; Insecta; Diptera; Culicidae.